RNAcentral lists this ribosomal RNA (254 nucleotides) under uncultured bacterium. Its description in RNAcentral is "partial 16S ribosomal RNA". It matches the Rfam family "Bacterial small subunit ribosomal RNA", at positions 524 to 776 of the family's 1533-position model. The record is from RNAcentral.
UACAGAGGAGCCAAGCGUUGUCCGGAUUGACUGGGCGUAAAGCGCACGCAGGCGGCACCGCGCGUGGGGUGUGAAAUCUGGCCGCUUAACGGCCAGGCGCCAUCCCAUACGGCGGAGCUGGAGUGAUGCAGAGGUCGAUGGAAUUGCCGGUGUAGUGGUGAAAUGCGUAGAGAUCGGCAGGAACACCCAGGGGGGAAACCAGUCGACUGGGCAUCUACUGACGCUGAGGUGCGAGAGCGUGGGGAGCGAACCGG